GCUCGAUUAGCUCAGUAGGUUAGAGCGCACGCCUAAUAAGCAUGAGUAAGCGUGAGGUCAUGAGUUCGAUCCUCAUAUUGAGUA
Seminavis robusta is the source of this 84-nucleotide non-coding RNA. The record is from the annotation of a GenBank genome assembly. Lineage: Eukaryota; Bacillariophyta; Bacillariophyceae; Naviculales; Naviculaceae.